This 254-nucleotide ribosomal RNA is filed under the name uncultured bacterium. RNAcentral's name for it is "partial 16S ribosomal RNA". It matches the Rfam family "Bacterial small subunit ribosomal RNA", at positions 524 to 776 of the family's 1533-position model. The record is from RNAcentral.
UACGUAGGGUGCAAGCGUUGUCCGGAAUUAUUGGGCGUAAAGAGCUCGUAGGCGGUCUGUCGCGUCGGCUGUGAAAACCCGGGGCUCAACCCCGGGCCUGCAGUCGAUACGGGCAGACUAGAGUGCGGUAGGGGAGACUGGAAUUCCUGGUGUAGCGGUGAAAUGCGCAGAUAUCAGGAGGAACACCGAUGGCGAAGGCAGGGUCUCUGGGCCACUACUGACGCUGAGAAGCGAAAGCAUGGGGAGCGAACAGG